RNAcentral lists this ribosomal RNA (370 nucleotides) under uncultured bacterium. Its description in RNAcentral is "bacterial SSU rRNA". It matches the Rfam family "Bacterial small subunit ribosomal RNA", at positions 29 to 429 of the family's 1533-position model. The record is from RNAcentral.
AACGAACGCUGGCGGCAGGCUUAACACAUGCAAGUCGAACGCCCCGCAAGGGGAGUGGCAGACGGGUGAGUAACACGUGGGAACGUGCCCUUCGCCUCGGGAUAGCCUCGGGAAACUGGGAGUAAUACCGAAUACGCCGUAUUGGGAAGAUUUAUCGGCGAAGGAUCGGCCCGCGUUGGAUUAGCUAGUUGGCGGUGUAAUGGACCACCAAGGCUACGAUCCAUAGCUGGUCUGAGAGGACGACCAGGCCCACACUGGGACUGAGACACGGCCCAGACUCCUACGGAGGCAGCAGUGGGAAUCUUGGACAAUGGGCGCGAAGCCUGAUCCAGCCAUGCCGCGUGAGUGAAGAAGGCCUUAGGGUUGUAAA